This is a long non-coding RNA of Armigeres subalbatus, 1093 nucleotides long. RefSeq lists it as uncharacterized. The transcript is spliced from 2 exons. The record is from RefSeq and is a predicted model, not a curated record. NCBI's taxonomy places the organism in Eukaryota, Metazoa, Arthropoda, Insecta, Diptera, Culicidae.
CCUUUCCCGUGAAAAAUUAUUAUUAGCUUAAAUCAUUCUUCUAUUUUUUUGGUGGCACUUUCCCCAAGAAACCUAUAUUUUUUGCGACGUGGAACUAUUGAAAAACAACAAAAAACUAUUUUAUUGAAAUUUCACUCCACAUGCCCCAGCUAUUUUUUUUACCACGAAACCCAUUGUACCCUUAUUUUCCCCUAAAUUUGACAUAAUGCUCGUGGUGAAUUUUGGAUUAUUGUGCCAUUCAAAGCCUUUCAGGCACAGCGAGGAAUGUUUUGUCUCUUAUUAUCACACAGGCAAGCAUAAUGACGUAAUCAUUUGCGUAGCCUAAACUCAUUAAAAGAGAGGAAGAGACAACACGUAGCAUACCGCACUGCCUUUGAACAUCCUGAACAUUUUUUUUGUUUACUUCGUGCAUCGCGGAACUUUUUUUGUUUGCUUUUGUCUUUACUGACAUCUUGCUUAUCGCGGAAUCGAUCGUUCAAAAACGUGUAACAAGUUUAAUCGUAAAAACAGACUUGAGCUCGUAAAACUUCUGUAGCUUCUAAGAUUUAAUUUACAAAGCGUCCUGUACCUGCAAAUUAAGAGGAAAAUGAAGGAAACAAGGAUGACACGUGAGGAAUUUAUAAUUUGUACCAAUUAUCUGGCGACUCGAUGGAUUAUUGUACACAAGCCACGCAAAAUAGUCACCGGGUCAAUACAUUCGGGCUCCUGCUCUUCCUCUCGAUGGGCCAACUGCUCACUGCGUCCAAUUUGCAUCUACUUCUCCGAUCGGCACUCGGUGUGAAAUUAAAACCGUCUUUUCUACAGCGUGCGCAAGUGAAACACAAGAACCGCCGAGGGCCCAUUACUGUCGCAUCUGGAAGCGUUGGAUCUCCGAAUGGAUCACCACUGCCCCUGGAUCAUCAACUGCUUUGGUGAAUUGGAGCCGGAAUUUCUUGGAUCCAGCAGAGUGCCCUUACCCGAGCCACAGGUGAAAGAUUGUAUAGCUUAGCAGAAGUUUUAGUUGUGUUCCAUGCAGUAACACACAUGGAGAUUUUUUGUAAUUAUGUUUACAUUUAAGCACAGGACAAAUACACAGGGAAUGUGAGUAUUAUUA